GGAUUAGGCAUGCAAGUCGAACGAGAGCCCGUUUCGAUGGGCGAAAGUGGCGAAAGGGUGAGUAAUGCAUAGACAACCCACCUUCGACUCCGGGAUAACUGGGAGAAAUCACAGCUAAUACCGGAUAGGCUCGCUGGAACUUAUGUUCUGGCGAAUAAAGGAGGCCUCUCAACGAUGCUCCUGGUUGAAGACGGGUCUAUGUCCUAUCAGCUUGUUGGUGAGGUAAAGGCUCACCAAGGCGAUAACGGGUAGCCGACCUGAGAGGGUGACCGGCCACACUGGGACUGAGACACUGCCCAGACUCCUACGGGAGGCUGCAGUCGAGAAUCUUCCGCAAUGAGGGCAACCCUGACGGAGCGACGCCGCGUGCGGGAUGAAGGCCUUCGGGUUGUAAACCGCUGUCACAGGUUAAGAACCGGUCUGGUGUCAAUAGCGCCAGGCCCUGACAAAGGCCUGAGAGGAAGCCACGGCUAACUUCGUGCCAGCAGCCGCGGUAAGACGAAGGUGGCAACCGUUGUUCGGAAUCACUGGGCAUAAAGCGCACGUAGGCGGGAGUGCAAGUCGGGUGUGAAAUCCCUCGGCCCAACCGAGGAACUGCGCCCGAAACUGCACUUCUUGAGGGCAGCAGGGGAGCAUGGAAUUCCUGGUGGAGCGGUGAAAUGCGUUGAUAUCAGGAGGAACACCGGCGGCGAAGGCGAUGCUCUGGGCUGUUUCUGACGCUGAGGUGCGAAAGCCAGGGGAGCAAACGGGAUUAGAUACCCCGGUAGUCCUGGCCGUAAACGAUGGGCACUAAGUAGAGGGGUUUU
Molecule: ribosomal RNA, 806 nt
Filed under: uncultured Planctomycetota bacterium
Lineage: Bacteria; Pseudomonadati; Planctomycetota
Description: bacterial SSU rRNA
Rfam family: Bacterial small subunit ribosomal RNA
Source: RNAcentral